GCCUGCACAAUCAGUGUCGUAUACUCAUGUAACGCGAGCUGUGAUUUGCUCCUUUAUACAAAUCUCCCUCCAAUCAAAUAAUCGGACUGAAUAUUUGGAGGGAAAAAACGAGCAACACUAAUGUAAACAAAGGACUCGAGCAAUGCUUUCUUUGUUGAUAAACGUGUGUAUCCAAUCGUCAUAUGGUGAAAUCAUUUAUUCUGGUCACACGGCAAACAGUUUUAUUGUCUAUCGAAUAAACCAUUCUAAAAACGAAUAAGAAACAAACGUAUUUGUCCGUUUGUACGUGUCAAGUGUUUUUAUGUUGUGUUUUGUGCAUCAGUAUACGUAUCAAUUACGAUAUUUCCGGAUUGGAUUGACGGAUCAUCUCACAACAAGAACCAACGAAAAGAAGGUACAUUAACUUUCAAGGAGACAGCAGACAAGGAUACAUUGGAUAGAGGAGUCGAAAACUCUUGGUGGCGUGUUACCCAUAAAAGUUAAAUAUGAGAAAAAUGCUUCACCAAUGGAGGAGGCGCGCGCGGUUAGCAUCGAUUCCUGCAAGAACGAUCGUACCUCGAAAACCCUGGGCAUCAAUAUUAUUUCAUGAAUCAGGAAGCACUUUCUCGUUCACGCUCGUACGUCGUCGAGAAAAGGAGAAUCCAGCACGGGACCUGGGAAAGGGAGCAGCAGCACCUCGAGGAGCAAAAAACUGCUCGUCGAUGAACCUCGAAGGGCUCCCCAGCCUCGUCGAGUUUUCCUGGCAACGCUGGAUUUAAUACAUUUGCAAUUUUCAUACGGGAUUUUAUUCCGCGCUGUGUGCUUUUCCACGCUGCCUCGAGCGCACCAGCUCUAAAUACAAACGACUCGAGGAGAACGAAAGGUAUUUCGAAGUAGCCAACAAUAGAAUGGGUGCCAGAAGAACAUCCGGCCAAAUGCAUCUUCCAUUUGAACUGCGUGCAAGCUUCCACACCUGAUGGGAACAGAGUGCAAAAUGCCAAAAGGAUUCUUACCAAAAGGACCCCGAAGGCGAGGAAAAAAGCACCGAGGAAUCGGAGCACGGGACGUUUUGGGACUCCUCUUUUUUGAGCUUUUAAAGCUCGCCUAUGAGGCCUUCCUUGCUCAAUCUACUUCGUCUCAUAACUGCUGGAAGAAUCUCUCAUUUAACGCGUUGAAACUCUGUUGAAUGAGCGAAGGGUUUUUUGUGUUCAUCUUGUAACUGCUAGUGUCCGUACAGCAUCGUCAGAAAUUUUAUCUUCAGGACGUUUUAAUCCCUCGUGCUAGAGAAUGUUUUUUACGUCCUUCUUUUUUAAUCGUUUUAACAAGUUUUUCCUCAUUUUUUAGGCCGCUUUCAUUCGAGACUCUUCAACCAGCAUGGGGCGAGGAAACGCGGCUCAAAAACAGGCAGAAUCUCCUUUUUUCGUUGCGGACUUUGGAAACAUGUUCUACGAAACUGCUGAAUUUUUGGGACAGCAGUGGAAUCGUGGAUGAACGUUUUCCUCCCCUACCACCUAAAAUUACAACCAAAACUACAGCCACCUCGAAAUCACAUUCGUUUCUAUUUGCGGGCAUCGCGUCAAUCAUUUUUUAUUUCAAAAUGCCCUUCGUAAUUUUCGUAAAUUCGAGGGUUUUUGCGCUCUCAUUUUUAGCUACGACUCAUGCACUGGCUUCAAAUUCCACACGCUUUUCUCUGGACGAUUUCCAGCCCGUGGAAUUUUUUAAUGAUUAAUUUCAUAGUUUUAUUCCCGUCGUUAAUUUCCCAAAACUUUCGUCUCCGAAACCUCAAAAUUCAGGAUCCCAAAGAAACGAAUUUUGUUUUGUCGAAUCGAAAAGCCCUGUAAGUCUCUAUUUUCGUGUGUUGAGAAUUCGCAACAAAAUUCAGCGAGCUCGGUCUCCAUCGUUCUUUCUCUCCUGAGAAGCCGCGAGGAGCUCAGUUGGAAUUUUAAUCUAGGAUUAAUCCAUUACUCUCGCUAGAAAUAAAUUCCCGGAGGUACCAAAGCAUUAAAAUAAUUGUUAUCUUAGACGGCUUUCUUCGUUGAGCGUUGUAACCAUUCCGUUUACGGACAUGAAAAAAGCUUAAUCCCUCAACUUCCCGGCGCUUUGAUCACACUGCAAUCGCCCUAAAAUUCUUCAACUUUUCAAAACAAUUGUUAUUAACCAAGUUCACGAGAGUUCAAUUCAUUUAAAUCUCGUUUCAACCGAUUUUCACACGAGCCGCAUUUGCCGAAGGAACUUUCCUCUCGCAAGGCUCUUUUCAGAAAAUACCAUUUUCUCCAUUCUUUUUUUCAUCGAAUUGCAUAAAAUGCACAUUUUUAAGGGCGAAUGUUAUGAAAUUUAUAUUUCUCCGAUGAUUUUACGUUCUUUGCCUAUCUCGAAAGUGCGCACUGUUCAGACAUUACUAUGUAAAUUUAUUUCGGCGUCUUUGGCCUCGCCCGAAGGAAGCAGAGGAAGCGAGUGAGCGACCAGAAUGCUCGGCUGGCCGGAGAGGCGUCGAAAAACGCAUCUGAAUAUAUAUUCCGGAGUUUUGUCUUUUUUGCUUUUCGUUUGGAGGCUCUCGUUCGCGAAUUCUUUA
Molecule: long non-coding RNA, 2551 nt
Organism: Venturia canescens
Lineage: Eukaryota; Metazoa; Arthropoda; Insecta; Hymenoptera; Ichneumonidae
Exons: 5
Source: RefSeq, a predicted model, not a curated record